Molecule: transfer RNA, 64 nt
Filed under: Austrogymnocnemia maculata
Lineage: Eukaryota; Metazoa; Arthropoda; Insecta; Neuroptera; Myrmeleontidae
Description: tRNA-Thr
Rfam family: tRNA
About the family: Transfer RNA (tRNA) molecules are approximately 80 nucleotides in length. Their secondary structure includes four short double-helical elements and three loops (D, anti-codon, and T loops). Further hydrogen bonds mediate the characteristic L-shaped molecular structure. tRNAs have two regions of fundamental functional importance: the anti-codon, which is responsible for specific mRNA codon recognition, and the 3' end, to which the tRNAs corresponding amino acid is attached (by aminoacyl-tRNA synthetases). tRNAs cope with the degeneracy of the genetic code in two manners: having more than one tRNA (with a specific anti-codon) for a particular amino acid; and 'wobble' base-pairing, i.e. permitting non-standard base-pairing at the 3rd anti-codon position.
Source: RNAcentral
GUUUUAAUAGUUUAAUCAAAACGUUGGUCUUGUAUACCAAAAAUAAGUCUUAACUUUUAAAACU